GCUUUCCUUGUCAUGGGGUGGCGUGGGCGGCCCAAUGAACGCGUAGUGAGGGUUCCCCUGCUGACACCAUAUCAACACAGAAGCACCACCAGAGCCCUGUGCUCUGGAACGGUGCAAUUUUUGGAAAC
Molecule: small nuclear RNA, 128 nt
Organism: Sphaeramia orbicularis (orbiculate cardinalfish)
Lineage: Eukaryota; Metazoa; Chordata; Actinopteri; Kurtiformes; Apogonidae
Product: U4atac minor spliceosomal RNA
Source: Ensembl